RNAcentral lists this ribosomal RNA (318 nucleotides) under Triticum aestivum (bread wheat). Its description in RNAcentral is "partial small subunit ribosomal RNA". The record is from RNAcentral. Lineage: Eukaryota; Viridiplantae; Streptophyta; Magnoliopsida; Poales; Poaceae.
AUGGGUAGUACAAGAGUAGAUCAUGAAAAGAAUGCUUUAUGUGAUAGUUAUAUUGUUGAAUUCAUUCAUGAUGCUACUGAACAUUAUUGUGAUGGAGGAAUAUAUGCUUGUAGGAGUUGCAAUAAUAUCAAGUUUCCUCUCUAUGUGUUGAAAAUCUUGAAGUUAUCCUUGUUUUACCUUCCUAUGCAAGUUGAUUCUUGUUCCCACAAGUUGUUUGCUCACAAAAUCCCUAUGCAUAGGAAGUGGGUUAGACUUAAAUGUGCUAGUCAUAUUCUUCAUGAUGCUCUCUUUAUGUUUCAAUUCGUAUCCUUUAUGUGA